UACAGAGGGUGCUAGCGUUGUUCGGAAUCAUUGGGCGUAAAGAGCUCGUAGGCGGUCUGUUGCGUCCGCUGUGAAAACUCGGGGCUUAACCCCGAGCCUGCAGUGGAUACGGGCAGACUAGAGGUAGGUAGGGGAGAAUGGAAUUCCCGGUGUAGCGGUGAAAUGCGCAGAUAUCGGGAGGAACACCGGUGGCGAAGGCGGUUCUCUGGGCCUUACCUGACGCUGAGGAGCGAAAGCGUGGGGAGCGAACAGG
RNAcentral lists this ribosomal RNA (253 nucleotides) under uncultured bacterium. RNAcentral's name for it is "partial 16S ribosomal RNA". It matches the Rfam family "Bacterial small subunit ribosomal RNA", at positions 524 to 776 of the family's 1533-position model. The record is from RNAcentral.